Molecule: non-coding RNA, 79 nt
Organism: Desmophyllum pertusum
Lineage: Eukaryota; Metazoa; Cnidaria; Anthozoa; Scleractinia; Caryophylliidae
Source: the annotation of a GenBank genome assembly
GGCUUCGUGAUCAUAGCUCAGAUGGUAGAGUGUCGCACCGAUAACGCGGAGGUCAUGGGUUCAAUUGCCAUUGAAGUUC